GAGUUUGAUCCUGGCUCAGAACGAACGCUGGCGGCGUGCCUAACACAUGCAAGUCGAGCGAGAAAGUAGCAAUACGAGUACAGCGGCGGACGGGUGAGUAACACGUAGGUAAUCUACCUUUUAGUGGGGAAUAACGUACCGAAAGGAACGCUAAUACCGCAUGUGGAUCCCGGUUGAUUUCCGGUAUCUAAAGGGGGCUCUCGCAAGAGGCUUUCGCUAAAAGAUGAGCCUGCGUCCCAUUAGCUAGUUGGUGAGGUAACGGCUCACCAAGGCGACGAUGGGUAGCUGGUCUGAGAGGACGACCAGCCACACUGGAACUGACACACGGUCCAGACUCCUACGGGAGGCAGCAGUGGGGAAUAUUGCGCAAUGGAGGAAACUCUGACGCAGCGACGCCGCGUGGGUGAUGAAGGCC
RNAcentral lists this ribosomal RNA (415 nucleotides) under uncultured delta proteobacterium. RNAcentral's name for it is "bacterial SSU rRNA". It matches the Rfam family "Bacterial small subunit ribosomal RNA", at positions 9 to 416 of the family's 1533-position model. Lineage: Bacteria; Deltaproteobacteria. The record is from RNAcentral.